This 702-nucleotide ribosomal RNA is filed under the name Asterionellopsis glacialis. Its description in RNAcentral is "eukaryotic LSU rRNA". The stretch from base 276 to 430 matches the Rfam family "5.8S ribosomal RNA". The record is from RNAcentral. Lineage: Eukaryota; Bacillariophyta; Plagiogrammaphyceae; Rhaphoneidales; Asterionellopsidaceae.
GAUCUCCCCUAUUGCGAAGCUAGGCACGGGUUAUUGGAGUGUUUUGACGCGGUACCACGUGCCGCUAGUUCCUUUGGCCUUGCCGAGUUAUCUAACCAAACCGUGUGCUGUAGUUUUGCUGCAGCAUGCAAACCUUGGGUGUUUUGUCUUCGGACUUGAUGCCCUCCCCAUACGAAACAGAUUGUAAUGAACGUGAAUGAAAGAUGGACGUGGCCAUAUGCAUGAUAGUAAUCAUGUGAUUUUGGCCUGUCUGUCAUUAAAGUAAUGUAACUUACAACUUUCAGCAACGGAUGUCUAGGUUCCCACAACGAUGAAGAACGCAGCGAAAUGCGAUACGUAAUGCGAAUUGCAAUUUCUCGUGAAUCAUCAAAAUUUUGAACGCACAUUGCGCUUCCGGGAUAUGCCCGGUAGCAUGCUUAUCUGAGUGUCCGCGAACCCCACUCAGCCUGAUUACUGUGUGAUGAGAGCUGGUCUGUGGCACUGCACCGGUUUUAGUACUGGUGCUGUGUUGGAAUGCGUGACGUUUUCUGCGUGGCGAGGCUGUUGGUUGUGUCUCGUGCUGUAUUGUGCAGUCGUCUCUGGUAGAGGCACUUUACGUGCAUUCGAAAGGAGAGUUGUCUGUGUAAUAUGUGCACUUUGAGUCACGUACCUUUUGCCGCACGAAUUGACCAUAUUGUUUGGUUGGUUCUGUGUGCGUUUUCG